Molecule: non-coding RNA, 214 nt
Organism: Oryza barthii
Lineage: Eukaryota; Viridiplantae; Streptophyta; Magnoliopsida; Poales; Poaceae
Source: Rfam
AAAAAAACAAACCCUGGUUUUCCGGCCGUACCUAACGUUUGACUGUCCGUCUUAUAUGAAAUUUUUUUUAUAAUUAGUAUUUUUAUUGUUGUUAGAUGAUAAAAUAUGAUUAAUACUUUAUACGUGACUUGUCUUUUUAAUUUUUUUUUUAUAAUUUUUUUAAAUAAGACGGACGAUCAAACGUUGAACACGAAAAUCCAGGGUUUGUCUUUUA